Molecule: ribosomal RNA, 253 nt
Filed under: uncultured bacterium
Lineage: Bacteria
Description: partial 16S ribosomal RNA
Rfam family: Bacterial small subunit ribosomal RNA
Source: RNAcentral
UACGUAGGGUGCAAGCGUUAAUCGGAAUUACUGGGCGUAAAGCGUGCGCAGGCGGUUGUGCAAGACAGAUGUGAAAUCCCCGGGCUCAACCUGGGAAUUGCAUUUGUGACUGCACGGCUAGAGUUUGGCAGAGGGGGGUAGAAUUCCACGUGUAGCAGUGAAAUGCGUAGAGAUGUGGAGGAACACCGAUGGCGAAGGCAGCCCCCUGGGUCAAAACUGACGCUCAUGCACGAAAGCGUGGGGAGCAAACAGG